Molecule: microRNA precursor, 208 nt
Filed under: Oryza nivara
Lineage: Eukaryota; Viridiplantae; Streptophyta; Magnoliopsida; Poales; Poaceae
Description: MIR812 microRNA precursor family
Rfam family: MIR812 microRNA precursor family
Source: Rfam by way of RNAcentral
AAUAAGUGCAGCUGUGGAUAUCCAUGCCCAACGUUUGACCGUCCAUCUUAUUUGAAAAUUUUGUAAAAAAAUUAAAAAUAUUUAGUCACACAUAAAGUAUUAUUCAUGUUUUAUCAUCUAAUAGCAAUAAAAAUACUAAUAAUAAAAAAUUUUCAAAUAAGACAAACGGUCAAACGUUGAACGUAAAUAGUGCAAAACUGCACCUAUU